GUUGGUGUCAGCGGAGUCAGGGACCCGAGUCCGCGGCUUGUGCAUCUGCCCUCCGACCCUCGAAAAGCCGCCCGCCUCCCCUUCUCCCGCGCACGGGGGCGGCGGACUCCACAACCUCCACCUCGCUCACCGGCUCGCCGCCUCCGGCCGAGAGUAGCUUUGAGCUAUGGGCACAGCUGUGGAUGCUUCAGCAGCUGUGGCUGAGGAGGUCACUGAGAAUAUGCUGGGUGGCAAGAAAGUCACUGUUGUAUUCGUUCUAGGUGGUCCUGGAAGUGGAAAGGGUACACAGUGUACCAACAUUGUGGAACACUUUGGAUUCACCCAUCUUAGUGCUGGAGAUCUUUUGCGUGCAGAGAUCAAAUCUGGCUCAGAGAAUGGAACCAUGAUUGACAACAUGAUAAAGGAGGGAAAGAUUGUUCCAUCAGAAGUAACCAUAAAGCUGUUGAAGGAGGCCAUGAUAAAAAGUGAAAAUGACAAAUUUCUGAUUGACGGGUUUCCAAGGAAUGAAGAGAAUCGUGCUGCAUUCGAGAAUGUUACAAAAAUUUCUCCUGCAUUUGUUUUAUUCUUUGAUUGUGCUGAGGAAGAGAUGGAAAGACGUCUUCUGGGGCGCAAUCAGGGAAGAGUUGACGAUAACAUUGAAACUAUCAGGAAAAGGUUUAAAGUGUUUGUUGAAUCUAGUUUGCCUGUUAUUGAGUACUAUAGCUCAAAGGACAAGGUUAAAAAGGUAUUAAUGCACUUUUAUCAUUCGAGGUGUCAUGGGCAGCCAACAGGCUGCCAGGGCCGACGGGCUGAUAGUCAAGCAAUGAAUUAUGAAGAAACAAUUCUAGUCUCCCUCAGUCUCUCAAGCUCUUGGCAAAGCAUAAGGCCUAGUUAUCCCAAAAUACCUCCUCGAUCUCUCAAGCUCUUGGCAAAGCAUAAGGCCUAGUUAUCUCCCAAAUAUCCAUCACCAUAACACGAGGGUUACUCCAACUGCAGUCUAAUGAUGCAAAAAUGUAGUAUUAUACUAUAAAUAGAAGCACAGAUUGGAACAAGAUGCAUGCCAACUUAAAUAUAUGAGAUUUGAAGGAUGAUGUUUAGAUGUCAAGAUAAUCUGAUGGAGUAGUCUUCCUUCCUUUUGAGUUAAUGAGCAUCAUUAAAUUUUUCACAUUUUAAUUAAUUGCUGGCGCUUCUGUUGGAAUUAUCGACCUAGAUUGAUGCAGCAAAACCAAUUCCUGAGGUCUUUGAAGACGUGAAGGCCAUUUUUGCCCCAUAUGCUCCAAAGGUUGAAUAGAGCAAUAUACAAGAGAGGUCAUGGAGGCACCGGACAAUUGUUACUACAUAUAUGUUAUUAUGAACUUAUUUAAUAUAGAAGAAAAGUUUUUGCUCAAAUGAGCUACCAGCAUAUAUUAGUAGGCAAUUCAAUUUGUUAUCAGCAAUAAGUAGAUCUGAGUCCCUGUGUUCCCUGCUAGAGUAGCAUUUUACCAAUGUUGGUGUAUCCUUUGAUAUUGUUGUACCAACAAUGUGGCAAUGUGGUCUGGCUUGUACCCUCCCAUCUGCUAUCUGGUAGCAUUAAGUGAUUAUUUAUUCUUGUAGGCAUUAAAAUGUGCAACAUUCUACUCAGCCUUUGCAUGAUCACUUGGUGCCCUCAUGUCAGAUAUUAGUUAGUAUCUACAGGGCUAUGUAGAUGCUCUUUAUUUGAUUGGGAGCAAUGACAUACAAUAUGAUUCUUGUACUCAUGCUUGAAAUAUUGCAAGUCAAGGGCCAGGGCUCUUGUGUGACUAUAGGUCGUCUGUAGUAUAUAGUUCUGUUACUUUAGUCCUGAGGUUAACACAUUCCUCUGAUUUAUGAAGGUAUUUUGCACACUUGUGAACCAUUUGUGAGCUGAUUGUAGCAUUUUGUCAAAAAAAUGCAUAGCCAUGUACUAUCAAUGUAAGAAGACCAAACCACUUUUGUACUGCUGUCUCUUUGAUCACCUUCGUUGUAAUCAGGUUGGCUGCCCAGCUGUAAGCAAGAAACAGGAAAUUUGGUAAGAUAUUUUGUUCUACAUUGCAACCCCAUAGAAGUGACGGCGUCUAUGCCUUUGUUUGGUGCUUGUAAGGUUUCAGUAACAUUACCUAAUUGGGAGCUUGGAACAUUACAGUAUAUGCAUGCCGUGAUGAACUGAUGAUGGUGAUACAUCUAACUGACAAUUUUGUUGUAAUCCUUGC
Molecule: RNA transcript, 2186 nt
Organism: Sorghum bicolor (sorghum)
Lineage: Eukaryota; Viridiplantae; Streptophyta; Magnoliopsida; Poales; Poaceae
Gene name: UMP-CMP kinase 4
Exons: 9
Source: RefSeq, a predicted model, not a curated record